ACAGUGGACGCGAGCAUCUGUGGCCAAGUUUUUAAGGGCGCACGGUGGAUGCCUUGGCACCAGGAACCGAUGAAGGACGUGGGAGGCCACGAUAGGCCCCGGGGAGUCGUCAACCAGGCUUUGAUCCGGGGGUGUCCGAAUGGGGAAACCCGGCAGUCGUCAUGGGCUGUCACCCGCUGCUGAACACAUAGGCAGUGUGGAGGGAACGCGGGGAAGUGAAACAUCUCAGUACCCGCAGGAAGAGAAAACAACCGUGAUUCCGGGAGUAGUGGCGAGCGAAACCGGAUGAGGCCAAACCGUAUGCGUGUGAGACCCGGCAGGGGUUGCGCAUGCGGGGUUGUGGGAUCUCUCUUUCAUGGUCUGCCGGCCAUGAGACGAGUCAGAAACCGUUGAUGUAGGCGAAGGACAUGCGAAAGGUCCGGCGUAGAGGGUAAGACCCCCGUAGUCGAAACGUCAGCGGCUCGUUGGAGAGACACCCAAGUAGCACGGGGCCCGAGAAAUCCCGUGUGAAUCUGGCGGGACCACCCGCUAAGCCUAAAUAUUCCCUGGUGACCGAUAGCGGAUAGUACCGUGAGGGAAUGGUGAAAAGUACCCCGGGAGGGGAGUGAAAUAGUACCUGAAACCGUGUGCCUACAAGCCGUGGGAGCGUCGGACAUCAGCUUGCUGGUGUCUCGUGACUGCGUGCCUUUUGAAGAAUGAGCCUGCGAGUUUGCGGUGUGUUGCGAGGUUAACCCGGGUGGGGUAGCCGUAGCGAAAGCGAGUCCGAACAGGGCGCUUCAGUAGCACGCUCAAGACCCGAAGCGGAGUGAUCUAGCCAUGGGCAGGUUGAAGCGGAGGUAAGACUUCGUGGAGGACCGAACCCACCAGGGUUGAAAACCUGGGGGAUGACCUGUGGUUAGGGGUGAAAGGCCAAUCAAACUCCGUGAUAGCUGGUUCUCCCCGAAAUGCAUUUAGGUGCAGCGUCGUGUGUUUCUUGCCGGAGGUAGAGCACUGGAUAGGCGAUGGGCCCUACCGGGUUACUGACCUUAGCCAAACUCCGAAUGCCGGUAAGUGAGAGCGCGGCAGUGAGACUGUGGGGGAUAAGCUCCAUGGUCGAGAGGGAAACAGCCCAGAGCAUCGACUAAGGCCCCUAAGCGUACGCUAAGUGGGAAAGGAUGUGGAGUCGCACAGACAACCAGGAGGUUGGCUUAGAAGCAGCCACCCUUGAAAGAGUGCGUAAUAGCUCACUGGUCUAGUGAUUCCGCGCCGACAAUGUAGCGGGGCUCAAGCGUACCGCCGAAGUCGUGUCAUUGCAGCAAUAAGCCCCAACGGGUGCUGUGAUGGGUAGGGGAGCGUCGUCUGCCGGGUGAAGCAGCCGCGGAAGCGAGUUGUGGACGGUUGACGAGUGAGAAUGCAGGCAUGAGUAGCGAUUCACACGUGAGAAACGUGUGCGCCGAUUGACUAAGGGUUCCUGGGUCAAGCUGAUCUGCCCAGGGUAAGUCGGGACCUAAGGCGAGGCCGACAGGCGUAGUCGAUGGAUAACCGGUUGAUAUUCCGGUACCCGCUGUGAAGCGUCAAACACCGAGCAUCGUGAUGCUAAGGCCGUGAAGCCGCCCCGGAUCCUUCGGGUGAAGGGGAGUGGUGGAGCCGCCGGCCCAAGCGGUUAGUAGGUGAGUGAUGGGGUGACGCAGGAAGGUAGUCCAGCCCGGGCGGUGGUUGUCCCGGGGUAAGGGUGUAGCCCGAGUGGUAGGCAAAUCCGCCACUCAUGAGGGUGAGACCUGAUGCCGAGCCGAUUGUGGUGAAGUGGAUGAUCCUAUGCUGUCGAGAAAAGCCUCUAGCGAGUUUCAUGGCGGCCCGUACCCUAAACCGACUCAGGUGGUCAGGUAGAGAAUACCGAGGCGUUCGGGUGAACUAUGGUUAAGGAACUCGGCAAAAUGCCCCCGUAACUUCGGGAGAAGGGGGGCCACAUCCGGUGACGGCACUUGCUGCCGGAGCUGGGGGUGGCCGCAGAGACCAGCGAGAAGCGACUGUUUACUAAAAACACAGGUCCGUGCGAAGCCGUAAGGCGAUGUAUACGGACUGACGCCUGCCCGGUGCUGGAACGUUAAGGGGACCGGUUAGCUCACCUUCGGGUGGGCGAAGCUGAGAACUUAAGCGCCAGUAAACGGCGGUGGUAACUAUAACCAUCCUAAGGUAGCGAAAUUCCUUGUCGGGUAAGUUCCGACCUGCACGAAUGGCGUAACGACUUCUCGACUGUCUCAACCAUAGGCCCGGUGAAAUUGCACUACGAGUAAAGAUGCUCGUUUCGCGCAGCAGGACGGAAAGACCCCGGGACCUUUACUACAGUUUGAUAUUGGUGUUCGGUUCGGCUUGUGUAGGAUAGCUGGGAGACUGUGAAGCUCGGACGCCAGUUCGGGUGGAGUCGUCGUUGAAAUACCAGUCUGGUCGUGCUGGAUGUCUAACCUGGGUCCGUGAUCCGGAUCAGGGACAGUGUCUGAUGGGUAGUUUAACUGGGGCGGUUGCCUCCUAAAGGGUAACGGAGGCGCCCAAAGGUUCCCUCAGCCUGGUUGGCAAUCAGGUGUUGAGUGUAAGUGCACAAGGGAGCUUGACUGUGAGACCGACGGGUCGAGCAGGGACGAAAGUCGGGACUAGUGAUCCGGCGGUGGCUUGUGGAAGCGCCGUCGCUCAACGGAUAAAAGGUACCCCGGGGAUAACAGGCUGAUCUUCCCCAAGAGUCCAUAUCGACGGGAUGGUUUGGCACCUCGAUGUCGGCUCGUCGCAUCCUGGGGCUGGAGUCGGUCCCAAGGGUUGGGCUGUUCGCCCAUUAAAGCGGUACGCGAGCUGGGUUUAGAACGUCGUGAGACAGUUCGGUCCCUAUCCGCUGUGCGCGCAGGAGUCUUGAGAAGGGCUGUCCCUAGUACGAGAGGACCGGGACGGACGAACCUCUGGUGUGCCAGUUGUUCUGCCAAGGGCAUGGCUGGUUGGCUACGUUCGGGAGGGAUAACCGCUGAAAGCAUCUAAGCGGGAAGCCUGCUUCGAGAUGAGGACUCCCACCCACUUGAUGGGGUAAGGCUCCCAGUAGACGACUGGGUUGAUAGGCCGGAUAUGGAAGCACGGUAACGUGUGGAGUUGACCGGUACUAAUAGGCCGAGGGCUUGUCCUCAGUUG
Molecule: ribosomal RNA, 3147 nt
Filed under: Streptomyces sp. Tu 3180
Lineage: Bacteria; Bacillati; Actinomycetota; Actinomycetes; Kitasatosporales; Streptomycetaceae
Description: 23S ribosomal RNA
Rfam family: Bacterial large subunit ribosomal RNA
Source: RNAcentral